GGAUGCAUGAAAGGGACAAUAAAAAUAAAAUGAAAUGAAUAAAAUAAAAUAAAAACAGGAGAACUGUCAAAGGCCUUUAUUUGUAAACUGUGUUUGUUAAGAAGUAGGGUCCAGCUUAGUUGGCAGAGUGCUUGACCAGCAUGCACAAAGUACUGAGUUUGAUCCUCAGCACAGCAAACCACCAUGAAAAGCAGCUUGCAUCCAAGACAGCUUGGAUGUUGGGAAGUGCUUGCUGAUGUUAACUUGAUAUGGCUGUCUCCAGAAAGACUGUGCCAGAGCCUGACUGAUACAGAGGUAGAUGCUCACAGCCAGCCAUUGGACUGAGUUUGGGGUUCCCUGAUGGAGGAAUUGGAGAAGUGAUUCAAGGAGCUGAGGGGUUUUCAGCCCCAUAGAGGGAAUAACAGUGUGAACAGACCAGACUCCCCCCCCCCAACCCCGAAGCUCCCAGGAAGUAGACCACCAAGCAAAGAAUACACAUGGAGGAACCCAUGUUGCUGGUCACAUAUGAGGCAGAGUAGGAUGAGAGGUCUUUGGGCCUGAGGCUGUUCAUUGCCCUUGUGUAAGGAAAUGCCAGAGCAGGAAGAAGGGAGUGGUCAGGUGGGUGGGUGAGCACCCUCAUAGAUGCAGGGAGAGUGGAGAUGGGAUAGAGCAUUUCAGAAGGGGAGACAGACCCAGAAAGGGGAAAAUAUUUGAAAUGUAAAUAAAGAAAAUAUCCAAUAAAAAUGGGAUACAGCUCUAAACAAGGAGUUUUCAACUGAGGAAUCUCAAAUGGCUCUGAGAAACACCUAAAGAAAAUCUCAACAUUCUUAGAUAUCAGGGAAAUGCAAAUCAAAAAGACCAUGAUAUUCCACCUCACACCAGUCAGAAUUGCUAAGAUCAAAAACUCAGCUGAACUGCAUGUGCAGCAGAGGAUGGGCUAGUAGGAUGUCCAUCAAUGGGAGGAUAGGCCCUUUAUCCUUUGAAGGCUCUAUGCCCCAGUUUGGGGGAAUGCCAGGGCCAGAAAGUGGGAGUGGGUGGGUUGCUGAGUAGGGGGAAGGUGUUUUUUGGAGGGGAAACCAGGAGAAGAGAAAACUUUUGAAAUGUAAAUGAAGAAAAUAUCCAAUAAUAAAAACGCUAAGCUAACAGCAGAUGUGGGUGAGGAUGUGGAGAUAGAAGAACACUCCUUCAUUGCUGGUGGGAUUGCAAGCUAGUACCACCCAUAUGGAAAUCAGUCUUGCAGGACCUCAGAAAAUUGGACAUAGUAAUGAAGAUCCAGCUAUACCACUCCUGGCCAUAUACACAGAAGGUGCUGCCACAUGUCAUACGGACACAUGCUCCACUAUGUUCAUUGCAGCUAUAUUUAUAGUAGCCAGAAGCUGGAAACUGCCCAGAUUUCCCUCAACAAAGAAAUGAAUACAGAAGAUCUGUACCCCAUUUUUAAUAAGGUUAUUUGGUUCUCUAGAGUCUAACUUCUUGAAUUCUUUGUAUAUUUUGGUUAUUAGCACUCUAUAGAAUGUAGGGUUGGUGAAGAUCUUUGGCCAAUCUGUUGGUUCCCGUUUUCUCCUUUUAACAGUGUCCUUUGCCUUUCAGAAGCUUUUCAAUUUUAUAAAGUCACAUUUUCAAUUGUUGAUCUUAGAGCCUGAGCCAUCAGUGUUCUGUUCAGGAAAUUUUCCCCUGUGCAGAUGUGUUAGAGGCUCUUUCCUAACUUUUCUUCUAUCAGUGUAUCUGGUUUCAUGUGAAGGUCCUUGAUCUACUUGGACUUGAUCUCUGAUCCUGUAUCUUCUCCUAUUUUUAGUUAGACAGGAUCUGUCUGUAUAGUACAGGCAGCCCCUUGUUUUCCUUUUCUCGUUUCUGCCCUCUAGUGUCAGAAUUUGUUACUGUAAGCCACCAAACCAGGAAGUUGGUGCUUUGUGUUACCUUUAUCUCCUAUGAAAUGGGUUGUGUGCUGUUCCUGGGUCACAAAUAAUAUACAGUAAUUUUCACAGGCCACAUGGAUACAUUUGAGAAAAAAAGUUUUCUGU
This 2000-nucleotide long non-coding RNA is filed under the name Mus musculus (house mouse). Its description in RNAcentral is "long non-coding RNA chrX:149605712-149607712". Lineage: Eukaryota; Metazoa; Chordata; Mammalia; Rodentia; Muridae. The record is from RNAcentral.